This 253-nucleotide ribosomal RNA is filed under the name uncultured bacterium. RNAcentral describes it as "partial 16S ribosomal RNA". It matches the Rfam family "Bacterial small subunit ribosomal RNA", at positions 524 to 776 of the family's 1533-position model. The record is from RNAcentral.
UACGAAGGGGGCUAGCGUUGCUCGGAAUCACUGGGCGUAAAGCGCACGUAGGCGGCUUUUUAAGUCAGGGGUGAAAUCCUGGAGCUCAACUCCAGAACUGCCUUUGAUACUGAGAAGCUCGAGUCCGGGAGAGGUGAGUGGAACUGUGAGUGUAGAGGUGAAAUUCGUAGAUAUUCGCAAGAACACCAGUGGCGAAGGCGGCUCACUGGCCCGGUACUGACGCUGAGGUGCGAAAGCGUGGGGAGCAAACAGG